CACGCAGGCGGUUUUGCAAGUCUGAUGUUAAAUACCUGGGCUUAACUCAGGAGAUGCGUUGGAAACUGCAAGACUAGAGUAUUAGAGGGGGAGUCGGAAUUCCUAGUGUGGGGGUGAAAUCUGUUGAUAUUAGGAAGAACACCGGUGGCGAAGGCGGACUCCUGGCUGAAUACUGACGCUGAGGUGCGAAAGCAUAGGGAGCAAACAGGAUUAGAUACCCUGGUAGUCUAUGCUGUAAACGAUGUGCACUUGGUGUUGGGCCGAUUAGGUUCAGUGCCGUAGCUAACGCGAUAAGUGCACCGCCUGGGGAGUAUGCCCGCAAGGGUGAA
Molecule: ribosomal RNA, 329 nt
Filed under: uncultured bacterium
Lineage: Bacteria
Description: bacterial SSU rRNA
Rfam family: Bacterial small subunit ribosomal RNA
Source: RNAcentral